This 611-nucleotide small RNA is filed under the name Arabidopsis thaliana (thale cress). RNAcentral describes it as "ATSL293980". The record is from RNAcentral. Lineage: Eukaryota; Viridiplantae; Streptophyta; Magnoliopsida; Brassicales; Brassicaceae.
CCUAGCUUAGCUAUCCAUUGGCUUAACCAUAACCAGUGGCGGAGCCAGAACAAUGACUCACUGGGGUCAAAAAAAAGUUAAACGAAACGAUAAACUUUACUAUAAACAUAACAAUGUCAUUACAAAUAAAAACUCUAAAGAUGAACUCUACGUUCACUCAUAUCUUGGAAUCGUUUUAUCACGAUUCGUUUGUAACAGUGUUAAGUACUUGCUUUUCAAUAAAACAAACAAGACAAUCACUUAAGAACACAUCACUGAUACGGUUACGCAAUGUAGUCUUCACAAAAUUCAUCGCGGAAAAACAUCUUUCGACAGUUGCCGUUGCAACAGGAAGAAUCAAAGAUAGCUUUAGAAGACGAUAUACCAAAGGAUGUGAAAGAUGCUUUUUUGUCUCUACCAUCACACGAGCAAGAUCACCAAGACACUUUAAAUCUGUAAACUUUUCAUCGUUUUUCACAUUAUCAAGGUAGAUCUCAAGUUGAUGAUCAAGAGAUCUACGCUCCACAAAACUAAAGUCAUCUGGAUAAAACUCGAUCAAUCUCACGAGCAUGGACUUAUCAAACUAACGAAAAGAAUCUAUCGGACUCACAGAAUCUAUGGUCCAUAACUAA